This 499-nucleotide long non-coding RNA is filed under the name Androctonus crassicauda. The record is from RNAcentral. Lineage: Eukaryota; Metazoa; Arthropoda; Arachnida; Scorpiones; Buthidae.
GACAUAUACUCACAAAAAAACUUGACAAUAACAAGGGCAUACUACAGGAACUUGCUACAAAAUUUAUAGGACAGUAUCAAGAAAAAAGAUAUGGUUUUCUGUCAAAAGAUAUGUUGUUGCUAGCUCACAAUAUAUACACAGCUGUAGAAACAGUCACUUUUCUGUGCAAAUAUGGUUAUGAAACCUCACCCCAUCUCUGUAUUCUCCUGUCCUGGCACCUUAAUACUUCAUCUUGUCUCAAAAUAUGAAAAACAUUUACAGGAAAAAAGUUUCUUCAAUGCCAUGCAGAGAUGGUUUGCCUCCAAAUCUGCAGACUUCUACAAAGAUGGGGUUAAAUACCUGUUCUACAGAUAUGAAAAGUGUGGCCCUAGGAAGUAGUUAUGUAAAGAAAGAAGAGUUAGAGGACCAAAUUUCUGAUCCCUAGCAUAUCUACAUCAUGAUGAGGAUAAGAACUUUUUGGCCUCCCCCUUUCAUGAGAGAAACUAACAAUAUCAUCAAU